ACUCGACUACAUGAAGCUGGAAUCGCUAGUAAUCGCGAAUCAGAAUGUCGCGGUGAGUACGUUCCCGGGUCUUGUACACACCGCCCGUCACACCAUGGGAGUCAGUAACGCCCGAAGCCGGUGACCCAACCAAUUCAGGAGGGAGCCGUCGAAGGUGGGACCGAUAACUGGGGUGAAGUCGUAACAAGGUACC
This 193-nucleotide ribosomal RNA is filed under the name uncultured bacterium. RNAcentral describes it as "partial 16S ribosomal RNA". It matches the Rfam family "Bacterial small subunit ribosomal RNA", at positions 1310 to 1500 of the family's 1533-position model. The record is from RNAcentral.